GCAUGGUGGAGUGUGGAGGAUGAAACCAGCUCUAAAGAAGUAUGCCUGUGAACUCACACUGGACCCAAACACAGCCAAUGGAGACCUCUAUCUGUCUAAGGACAACAGAGAGGUGGGGCUGGUUGAAGAGGACCAAGAAGUGGAGAUUCCUGAUCACCCAGAGAGAUUUGUCUCCCAGCCCCAGGUGUUGUGUAGAGAGGGUCUGACUGGCCGCUGUUACUGGGAGGUAGAGUGGGAUGGACAUGUUUCUAUAGGAGUGACAUACAGAGGAAUCACAAGGAGAGGAGGAAAUUAUGACAGCAUGCUUGGAGGGAACAACAGGUCCUGGAGUCUUUCUUGUCGUCAGGUGUAUCGUCCUAAUGAUCAUUAUGAUAGUGAUAAUGAUGAAUAUUAUUCUGAUUAUGAUGAUGAUGAUGAUGAUGAUGAUGAGGAGGAGGGAUGUUAUUACACUGCCCGGUACAACUGUGUAGAUAGACUAAUGCUUUUCCCCCCCGAUGAUUCUGCCAGAGUGGGAGUUUAUCUGGACCGGCCUGCUGGUACUCUGUCCUUCUACAGUGUGUCCACAGUUGUAGGACAGACAGACACACUGAGACGCAUCCACACCUUCCAGUCCACAUUCACCCAGGAGGACCUGGGUUUGGGAUAGGGGAUGAUGAUUAUGAGGAUAGGGGUUGUUCAGUGUCUCUGUGUAAGUUAUAGUCUCUCACUCUCUCUCUUCGAGUCUGAUGACAAACAUAUAUACACGGCCACAUAUAUUAACACACACACACACACACACACGCAUAUAUUAACACAAACACGCAUAUAUCAACCCACACACGUGCACAUAUAUUUACCCAGAAGUGCUCACACACACACAUAUUUAAAGACACACACACAAGCAUAUAUAAACACACACGCAGUCACGCAGGCACACACAAACACACAAGCAUAUAUAAACGCUGAAAUAUACACACAGACACACGCAUGCAAAUGCGCGCAUAUAAACACAUCCAUAGAUAAACGUACCCGCGCACACGUGCACACACCGCACAUGCAUUAUCAGACAUACACGCACGCACAAAAACACGCAUAUAUGAACACACACACAUUUGAUCUUGAUAAUAAAACCAUGAAAGGAAGAGACUUUUAAGAUAUUCCAUAAGGUUAACUAAGAAGGUUUUACAGACUAUAUUUCUAAUGUCAAAUGUAUUUUAAAUAAUGAUUGACGGCUAAUCUAUGCAUGUUUAUGCUACUCGAUUUUGAGAGAGGUUAAUACUGCAGGGAUCUGAAAGCAGUUUAUAUUUUGAUAAGCCUAACCUGGAACCUGAUUUAAUAUUAUAUUCAUAAUGCAAACGGUCUGAGAAAAGCCAUUGAUCAUGUUGUGACAACUUUAAACUGAGUAUUGAUUCCUUGUGUUCUGUUGGGAACAACACAGCAGCAGAACAUGUUCAGUUAUAAAAGAUGUGUGCACACCUGUUUAUGAAUAGUGAAAUGAAAUGUCUGCUGCUUCUAUUGUUUGAGUGCUUGUGUUUAUUGUAUACAUGUAAGGGACUGUUCUUCUAUUGUACUGGUUAAUAAAGCAUAAUGGUGAUAAACAA
Gadus morhua (Atlantic cod) is the source of this 1580-nucleotide long non-coding RNA. RefSeq lists it as uncharacterized. The transcript is spliced from 2 exons. The record is from RefSeq and is a predicted model, not a curated record. NCBI's taxonomy places the organism in Eukaryota, Metazoa, Chordata, Actinopteri, Gadiformes, Gadidae.